UCCCUGAGACCCUUAACCUGUGAGGGCAGCGCAGAAUUCACAGGUGAGGUUCUUGGGAACC
Molecule: microRNA precursor, 61 nt
Filed under: Chrysemys picta bellii (western painted turtle)
Lineage: Eukaryota; Metazoa; Chordata; Testudines; Emydidae
Description: Cpi-Mir-10-P3b_pre stem-loop
Source: RNAcentral